UGGGGAAUAUUGGACAAUGGGCGAAAGCCUGAUCCAGCAAUGCCGCGUGAGUGAUGAAGGCCUUCGGGUCGUAAAGCUCUUUUACCAGGGAUGAUAAUGACAGUACCUGGAGAAUAAGCUCCGGCUAACUCCGUGCCAGCAGCCGCGGUAAUACGGAGGGAGCUAGCGUUGUUCGGAAUUACUGGGCGUAAAGAGUACGUAGGCGGUUAUUCAAGUCAGAGGUGAAAGCCCGGGGCUCAACCCCGGAACUGCCUUUGAAACUAGAUAACUAGAGUCUUGGAGAGGUUAGUGGAAUUCCGAGUGUAGAGGUGAAAUUCGUAGAUAUUCGGAAGAACACCAGUGGCGAAGGCGACUAACUGGACAAGUACUGACGCUGAGGUACGAAAGCGUGGGGAGCAAA
This 400-nucleotide ribosomal RNA is filed under the name uncultured bacterium. RNAcentral's name for it is "bacterial SSU rRNA". It matches the Rfam family "Bacterial small subunit ribosomal RNA", at positions 355 to 772 of the family's 1533-position model. The record is from RNAcentral.